Molecule: long non-coding RNA, 574 nt
Filed under: Musa acuminata (dwarf banana)
Lineage: Eukaryota; Viridiplantae; Streptophyta; Magnoliopsida; Zingiberales; Musaceae
Description: long non-coding RNA (MACU_LNC010747)
Source: RNAcentral
GAGUUGUAAGGGAAUAGGAGUCUUGAGUAGGAGUCCUAUUAGGAGUUGGUUAGGAGUAAGAGUCUUAAGUAGGAGUCCUAUUAGGAGUUAGGGUUUAGAAGCCCUAUAAAUAGCUAUGUAUUCCUUCUCUUUUCUUAAGCAAUAGAUGAAUCUUUUCUGCAGCCUUUGAGCAGCAACUUGGAGGGAGGAACCCCUAUAGAGUUCCAAGGAGGCCGAUCCCCUAAAGAGAUCAACCCCAAGUUUAGAAUCUGCAAGGGUUCUAACACCUGGUAUCAGAGCAGCGUUCUUGGCGUCUCGCUGCCCUUCCACAGCCAUCCAUCAACCCUCCACAACCGUCCAAAGCAAUUCCCACAAUUGCUUAAAAGAUCGUCACCGAAUUCCGCCAUCAUCUCCACCACCGCGGAUCAUCCUUUGAUCUCCCCGUGAAUUGCAACAGGUUCUGGUUUCCUACCUUACUGCUGCUGCAAUUUAGUUAUCCUUAUUCGAAAAUCCAAAAAAAAAAAAAUUGUUCCUAUAUUGCUGCAUAAACUUUUCGUCACAAAGUUUUCAUCUCUACGACGAAUGAUACAUUGCA